This 537-nucleotide ribosomal RNA is filed under the name uncultured Helotiales. RNAcentral's name for it is "eukaryotic LSU rRNA". The stretch from base 176 to 329 matches the Rfam family "5.8S ribosomal RNA". The record is from RNAcentral. Lineage: Eukaryota; Fungi; Ascomycota; Leotiomycetes; Helotiales.
AGGAUCAUUAAAGAAUUGCCCCGUCUUCUCGAAGAUGGGUUCUAUUCCAAACCGUGUUUACAUACCUUUGUUGCUUUGGCGGGCCGCCGUUUCGGCGUUGGCUCCGGCUGACUGCGCCCGCCAGAGAACCACAACUCUUUUGUUUAGUAAUGUCUGAGUACUAUAUAAUAGUUAAAACUUUCAACAACGGAUCUCUUGGUUCUGGCAUCGAUGAAGAACGCAGCGAAAUGCGAUAAGUAAUGUGAAUUGCAGAAUUCAGUGAAUCAUCGAAUCUUUGAACGCACAUUGCGCCCCUUGGUAUUCCGAGGGGCAUGCCUGUUCGAGCGUCAUUAUAACCACUCAAGCCUCGGCUUGGUCUUGGGGUCCCGCGGUCUCGCGGCCCUUAAAAUCAGUGGCGGUGCCGUCUGGCUCUAAGCGUAGUAAUUCUCUCGCUAUAGGGUCCAGGUGGUGGCUUGCCAAAACCCCCCAUUUUUCUAUGGUUGACCUCGGAUCAGGUAGGGAUACCCGCUGAACUUAAGCAUAUCAAUAAGCGGAGGA